This 425-nucleotide ribosomal RNA is filed under the name uncultured bacterium. RNAcentral's name for it is "partial 16S ribosomal RNA". It matches the Rfam family "Bacterial small subunit ribosomal RNA", at positions 354 to 796 of the family's 1533-position model. The record is from RNAcentral.
GUGGGGAAUAUUGCACAAUGGGGGAAACCCUGAUGCAGCGACGCCGCGUGAGUGAAGAAGUAUUUCGGUACGUAAAGCUCUAUCAGCAAGGAAGAAAAUGACGGUACUUGACUAAGAAGCCCCGGCUAACUACGUGCCAGCAGCCGCGGUAAUACGUAGGGGGCAAGCGUUAUCCGGAUUUACUGGGUGUAAAGGGAGCGUAGACGGUAUGGUAAGUCAGAUGUGAAAGCCCGGGGCUAAACCCCGGGACUGCAUUUGAAACUAUCAGACUAGAGUGCAGGAGAGGUAAGUGGAAUUCCUAGUGUAGCGGUGAAAUGCGUAGAUAUUAGGAGGAACACCAGUGGCGAAGGCGGCUUACUGGACUGUAACUGACGUUGAGGCUCGAAAGCGUGGGGAGCAAACAGGAUUAGAUACCCGGGUAGUCC